CAAUAGCGUAUAUUAAAGUUGUUGCGGUUAAAAAGCUCGUAGUUGGAUUUCUGCUGAGAACGACCGGUCCGCCCUUUGGGUGUGUAUCUGGCUCUUUCUUGGCAUCUUCUUGGUGAACGUUGCUGCACUUGACUGUGUGGAGCGCUACCCAGGACUUUUACUUUGAGGAAAUUAGAGUGUUUCAAGCAGGCAUACGCCUUGAAUACAUUAGCAUGGAAUAAUAAGAUAGGACCUCGGUUCUAUUUUGUUGGUUUCUAGAGCUGAGGUAAUGAUUAAUAGGGAUAGUUGGGGGCAUUCGUAUUUAACUGUCAGAGGUGAAAUUCUUGGAUUUACGGAAGACGAACAACUGCGAAAGCAUUUGCCAAGGAUGUUUUCAUUAA
Molecule: ribosomal RNA, 380 nt
Filed under: uncultured eukaryote
Lineage: Eukaryota
Description: partial 18S ribosomal RNA
Rfam family: Eukaryotic small subunit ribosomal RNA
Source: RNAcentral